GGCCCGGGAAACUUGCUUUCCGGUUACCUCCGCCGCCGCCUGGAUUAGUCACUUGCGGAAGCGGCGGAGCUCAGCGGCGAUUCUCGUGCGCGAGGAGGGCUGAGCGGAACCGGCGAAAGAUGGAGUUCCUUAUGCAGAUUAAGAGGGCCACCGUGCUGGAACCUGGAAGAGGUGAACGACAGCGAUAUUCAGUUGGAGCCGCUGCACUACUCGGUGGCGCGGCCGAUUGAGGAGCCGCUGGCGCCUAUGGUGGAGGUGAAUGCGGACGGCCAGAUCUGUGCGGCGGAAGGGGCGACGGAUGUAGUCCGAGAAGGGUCGCCGAGAGCGUUGGAGCACUCCAUUGGACAGAUCGACCCUAGAGCUCCUGGGUGGAAAAGAAGAGUGAGGGUAGGUGCUGCUCCGCCGGGAAAGACGCCAUGUCCUAAUCGGACUACUGCUCUGGAGAAGACUAUCUGUGGUUUUGCCAACAAUGCUGGGCAGUGGCGGAGCUACACAAAAAUAGUUGGGCGGGUGAGGCAAACAAGUGCACGUUUUUUUUCAAAAUUACGAUGAAUCGUGCUACUUCAUUAGACAUGAGUCAGUUCUCAAUAAUUUUUUAACUAGAUCAGCAAAUAUAUACGCACGGCAAGACCGUCGUCGCUUGGGUGUGCGAAUGUGCGGUGGAUGAUGUUGGCCAGCUAGUGGCCGCUGAUGCUUGCUGUGCCGCCGCUGCUCGGCUGCUCCUUGUGGCCAAUAAUUACUGCUCCAUUCCUGGCGUCGUGCGAAUCUCUCACUAAAUGGAGCGUAAUGGGGAUUAGGGGCCUAGGUGGUGUCUGCCAGUAGACCAGGCUUAUGAGCUACCGAUGCGUAUGAAAGAAAAAACAUACAGAUCCUGGGCAGGCCGCGGCCACUUUGGCCUUGCCGUAGCUCCGCCACUGAUCCUGGGGAUAAUGUCAUAGUGGCAACUUUGGGUGCAAGCUUUGAUUCUCUUGGUGAAGCCUACGAUUCCUACGACUUGUAUUCGUGGGGAGAAAGGAUCUGACAUAAGAUACGGCAAGAGUAGGCUAAAUGUGGAGAGGACAAAAUGCAUGCAGGAGAUUGUUUGUGGUUGUGCGGUAUGGUAGUAUGGAUUUAUAAAUUGUUAGUAUUUGAAAAUAUUUCAUCCAGCAGUUGUCUCUGAAAAAGUGUUCUCUCUUUGUGGCUGUUU
Long non-coding RNA from Triticum aestivum (bread wheat), 1186 nucleotides. RefSeq lists it as uncharacterized. The record is from RefSeq and is a predicted model, not a curated record. The transcript has 3 exons. NCBI's taxonomy places the organism in Eukaryota, Viridiplantae, Streptophyta, Magnoliopsida, Poales, Poaceae.